GUUUAACAAAACGCUACCGUUUGCUAACAUUCUGUUUAUCGCUACGAGGUUAAGGCUAAAACCCUAGUCCCACAUUCGGACGAUGUUCAUCCGUCACCGUGCUUCUGGGGCUCUGGUUCGGUUGCUUGUUUAAUUCCAGGAAGAAAUUCUAUGUUGUUCUUUAUGUUUCAUUCUCUAGUUCUUCACUGUUGAUGGUUAGAAAGCGUAGCACAAUAGUCAAGUCUGUAUCUUUCAGGUUUAUCGACUUUUCUCCCUCUGAAAUAUUUUUUAAAUUUUACUUGGACCACUUGUUUUGUUCAAAAUUCUGGAGAACAGCUAAGUAGUUUGCGUGUAGAGCUACUGUGCACUGGCAUCUUGGUCAAAACAUGUCACAGCAGCACAUGUAUGGAAGCUGCAAGCUGUAUACUGCAUGAGCCAUUGAGCAUAAAGAUGGUGCUAUUUCUUAUUUGAUUAUGAUUUUUAAUUUUUUAUUAAUUGCUGCACACCUUUCUACUAAUUGAGGGAAAAUUAGUUGUUAAUUGACAUAUUUACAUUUUCAUGUCCAGAGCAGAGAUCACUAUUUCACUAUUCUUAGCAGUUAAUCGACAUAUUUACAUUUUCAUUUGACGAAUUUACUUACAGGAAACUUAAUCGUCUCCAUUAGGAUCAGUAGGUCACCCAACUCCUGGUCACACAAGAGGAAUGAAUCACAAUAACAAUUCAGAGCCAGUACUCUUCCACAACGUCAACUAACAAAGCAGUGUCACCCUCUUGGUUAAUUGUUUCUUUAUUGCCUUGCAAGAAAACCUAAUCGGAAGACACAAGAAAUUCAUGAGGAGGCACGUAUAAAAGGAAUGAAGGACCUGUGUGAGAUUCCUUGAACCAUUCAUUUUACCACUAUUCUCAUGCGUAUUCCCAAAAGGUGCAAAUGGAAAUGGUCAAUACUCUUGCAUUAAUGCUUUUUGCAUCCACUUUAGUAUUUCUGCCCAAGAUGGAGGCACAACCAUAUACACACCCACUUUGUGUCUCCCAGUUUGCGCUUGUGAACUCUGCCUGUGCAAUGCUGCCAUACAUCCCAUUGCCACUACUGAUACCUCCUUUCCCUCCCUUGCCGCUAGCUCCUUCCCUUGAUGAAGUGAAUAGGCAUGGCCACGAUCAUAGUCCCAGUGAUAAUCAUGGCCACGAUCAUAGUUCCAGUGAUAAUCAUGGUCAUGGGCAUGAAGAAUGGCCUGGUCAGGGACAUGGGGAUGACCUCGGGCACGAGCUUGAGCAUGGGCACAAUUAUAGUCAUGGGCAUGGUCAAGGUCAAGGUCAAGGUCAAGGACAUGGACAUGGUCAAGAACACAGACAUGCACACAGGCACAAGCAUAAGCAUAGACAUGAAUCGGCUGUAAAAGAGAAAUGUUGCAGGUGGCUAAAUGAAUUAGAUGAUGAGUGUGUCUGUGACCUGUUGGUUCGGUUGCCGCCCUUCCUCUCAAGACCUUUACAUACAUUUAAUGUCUAUCUUGAUGAGACAUGCAAUGUAACUUAUGCAUGUGAAGGGCGACUGCUAAGAUCAUAACAUAAUGUUAAUUGUGAUAUUUCUCUUGUCUACCAUUUAUAUGGUUAAGGUACACUCCAUAAAUUCUGUAAUAGGAUAGCUUGUGCUCA
This is an RNA transcript of Manihot esculenta (cassava), 1629 nucleotides long. It is a transcript of the gene named kininogen-1, with no coding region annotated. The record is from RefSeq and is a predicted model, not a curated record. The transcript has 3 exons. Lineage: Eukaryota; Viridiplantae; Streptophyta; Magnoliopsida; Malpighiales; Euphorbiaceae.